RNAcentral lists this unclassified non-coding RNA (2289 nucleotides) under Hevea brasiliensis (rubber tree). The record is from RNAcentral. Lineage: Eukaryota; Viridiplantae; Streptophyta; Magnoliopsida; Malpighiales; Euphorbiaceae.
GGUUAAAUGAACAGAAUAAACGGGGGCUCUUCGCAUGAAAUACAGAUGAGUGUCAACUCCUGCUAUUUCCUAGCUCUUUAUAUCCAAAAUUUCACUUCUCAAUCCUCGGAAGUCCAUACCCACUCCCGUGAAUGAAAAAUCCAGCCAAACGUUUCCCAAAAUGGCCUCUCAUGAAACAAUACCAAUUCAAAAUUCAUCAUCCUUUCUUUCUACCAGCACUAUUGUCGCCCUCUGCGUCUUCUUUGCUCUCCUCUGUGCUUGUAUCGUCAUAGGUCACCUCCUUGAAGAGAACCGCUGGGCUAAUGAGUCUAUCACUGCCCUUCUUUUGGGGUUGUGUGCUGGUGCCAUCGUUUUGCUUAUUGAAAAAGGGCAGGAUUCGCGGUUAUUAGCGUUCAGUGAGGAUUUGUUCUUCCUUUAUUUGCUUCCUCCUAUCAUUUUCAAUGCUGGGUAUGAUCUCUUUCAACCUUAACUCGAACUUUGGCUGUUGCUUCAAAGUUUGUUGAGGUUGGAGUUUUAGUUCUGGAAUUUGAGAUUUUCUUUUGUUGCUGACAUUUUUUUUUACUUGAUUUGGAGUUUGCUCAUAUAGAAGUUGAAUAGUGAAAUUAUUUUGUGAAAGGAUAUAUAGAUCUCAAUUUUCGUCUUGAAUUUGAAUUCUUGGUCUCAUCAUUUGUGAAAGACAAUUUGGUCUGAUAUGGUUGAUUUAUUGUCCCAGAGAAAAUUUUGGAAGUUUAUGUUACUUUCCUCUCUUUCUUUGGUUUACUGAACUAAGUACUAUCAAUCCAAGGCUGGUGUGUUCUUGGUUACUGAUUCUUAGUUUCCAAAUUUGGCUCCAGAUUCCAGGUCAAGAAAAAGCAAUUCUUCAAGAAUUUCACUACAAUUUUGUUGUUUGGAAUACUUGGCACAGUCAUUUCGUUCUGCCUCAUAUCACUAGGUGCCUUUCUGCUUUUUAAGAGAAUUGGUCUUACCACUCUUACUCUGCAACAAUUCCUAGCUAUUGGUGCCAUAUUGUCAGCAACUGACUCAGUUUGCACGUUGCAGGUAUAUCUAAAAAAGUUAAAUCUUAGUACAGCAAUGGGUUUAUAUGGAAUAAUUAACUAAAGAUAUUAAUGCUUGAUAUUUUCCUUGUGCUAAAGGUUCUGAGUCAAGAUGAAACACCCUUUCUGUACAGCAUAGUGUUUGGGGAGGGAGUAGUGAAUGAUGCUACAUCUAUUGUGCUUUACAAUGCUGUCCAAUCAUUGAAUUUCAACAACAUUGAUGCCACAAUAACCUUAAAAUUGCUUGGGAACUUUCUUUAUCUCUUCUUCACCAGCACUGCUCUUGGUGUAGUAGUAAGUCAUGCAGUCAUUCUGCUUUUAUUAACUUGUUUUCACUAAAAUGGAUUACGAAGAGCAUUUCUGACAAAUAUGUUAAUGUUAGAAAGGAAUCCUUAUGUGCUACUUAAAACUACAGUUAUGUUGCUUUUCCUCAGAUUUACAGACAGUAGCUUCUUGGCUUGUGUUUGGUUUGGCUCCCUAGAUUGAUAGAUACUGUUUGUCGGUUGUGUCUAACUUUCCCUAUUUCAAUGUCUCAGGUGAGUCUGCUAAGUGCUUUUGUCAUAAAAACACUAUACUUUGGAAGGUAAGAAGGAUUACUCUUCACUUAUUUCUUUGAGCAUUUAUUGCAGCAUGGGCUCUUUUUAUUUUUCUCAUUUUUCUGUUUUCCAGAGCAUUUUUUCACUGAGAUGUCUCCAUCUAAGGUAAAGUCAAUAUUCACACUGUCAAAAUGAAGUUCAGAUAAAAUAAGUUGGACCCUUGUAGGGAAAGAGUUGGGUUGCCACUUGCCAAUAGAUUGAAAUCAAUGAAGGUUCAUAUAAAAUGAAAGCAAAAUUAAUGGUUCAAGAAGAAAGUCUGUGUUUCAGAUGCUAUUUUUGAAUCAAUGACAGGUUUUUCAUAGUCACUUGACCUUUCCAACUUAGGUUUGUGAUGCCUAUCAUUUAGCACAAAACAUGGUUCUAAACUUAGCCGAAUGAUUAUGACAUGUAGAGCUAUUUUCAUCUAAAAAUUGGCCUGCUGCAAUUGAGAAGGCUCUAUAAUUACUCAAAUCUUGAAUAAUAUAAAAAUUCAACUUUGGAAAGGUUCAUAAUCUAACUUUUAGUUGUGUUCAUGUUGGUCUUUGUCUUUUGCAUCCUGACAUUUUUUUUUCCUCAUAAGCAGGCAUUCCACUGAUCGUGAAGUUGCACUUAUGAUGCUUAUGGCUUAUUUAUCAUACCUGCUGGCUGAGCUUUUAAAUCUCAGUGGGAUUUUGACAGUU